This 465-nucleotide ribosomal RNA is filed under the name uncultured bacterium. Its description in RNAcentral is "partial 16S ribosomal RNA". It matches the Rfam family "Bacterial small subunit ribosomal RNA", at positions 28 to 507 of the family's 1533-position model. The record is from RNAcentral.
GACGAACGCUGGCGGCGUGCUUAACACAUGCAAGUCGAACGGAAAGGCCCCUUUGGGGGUACUCGAGUGGCGAACGGGUGAGUAACACGUGAGUAACCUGCCCUUCACUUCGGGAUAACCUCCGGAAACUGGGGCUAAUACCGGAUAGGAAUCCUUGCUGCAUGGUGUGGGUUGGAAAGCUUCGGUGGUUUUGGAUGGACUUGCGGCUCAUUCGCGUGUUGGGGGGGUAGUGGCCUACCAAGGCUUUGACGGGUAGCCGGCCUGAGAGGGCGACCGGCCACAUUGGGACUGAGAAGCGGCCCAGACGCCGACGGGGGGCAGCAGUGGGGAAUAUUGCACAAUGGGCGGAAGCCUGAUGCAGCAAGGCCGCGGGCGGGAUUACGGCCUUCGGGUUGUAAACCGCCUGCAGCAGGGGCGAAGCGUGUGGUGACGGUACCUGCAGAAGAAGCACCGGCUAACUACGUG